Molecule: ribosomal RNA, 354 nt
Filed under: uncultured bacterium
Lineage: Bacteria
Description: bacterial SSU rRNA
Rfam family: Bacterial small subunit ribosomal RNA
Source: RNAcentral
GGACCCGCACAAGUAGUGGAGCAUGUGGUUUAAUUCGAAGAUACGCGCAGAACCUUACCAACACUUGACAUGUUCGUCGCGACUUUAAGAGAUUAAAGUUUUCGGUUCGGCCGGACGAAACACAGGUGCUGCAUGGCUGUCGUCAGCUCGUGUCGUGAGAUGUUGGUUAAGUCCCGCAACGAGCGCAACCCUCACUUUUAGUUGCCAUCAUUUAGUUGGGCACUCUGAAAGAACUGCCAGUGAUAAGCUGGAGGAAGGUGGGGAUGACGUCAAGUCCUCAUGGCCCUUACGUGUUGGGCUACACACGUGCUACAAUGUAGUGACAAUGGGUUAAUCCCAAAAAUGCUAUCUCAG